RNAcentral lists this ribosomal RNA (252 nucleotides) under uncultured bacterium. RNAcentral's name for it is "partial 16S ribosomal RNA". It matches the Rfam family "Bacterial small subunit ribosomal RNA", at positions 524 to 776 of the family's 1533-position model. The record is from RNAcentral.
UACGGGGGGGCAAGCGUUGUUCGGAAUUACUGGGCGUAAAGGGCUCGUAGGUGGCCAACUAAGUCGGACGUGAAAUCCCUCGGCUUAACCGGGGAACUGCGUCUGAUACUGGAUGGCUUGAGUUCGGGAGAGGGAUGCGGAAUUCCAGGUGUAGCGGUGAAAUGCGUAGAUAUCUGGAGGAACACCGGUGGCGAAGGCGGCAUCCUGGACCGACACUGACGCUGAGGAGCGAAAGCCAGGGGAGCAAACGGG